Molecule: long non-coding RNA, 3020 nt
Organism: Podarcis raffonei (Aeolian wall lizard)
Lineage: Eukaryota; Metazoa; Chordata; Lepidosauria; Squamata; Lacertidae
Exons: 6
Source: RefSeq, a predicted model, not a curated record
UCAAAUUUUGACUUCAUUUCUGGCUUUGGUUCCACCUUCUUAACAGAGGAUGAUUUUAGUUUCUUUGAAGCUGGUUCUUCAUCAGAUGCUGACAUCUGACCUAAAUGAUAGCUCUUUGGAUACAAGUUCUUCCGGCUUCAUUCUUACAAGCCUUGACAAAGGAAGGUCUUCCCUAAGAACACGAUGGAAAAGUCCCUAGAGAGAGAGGAGUGAUUCGAGGUGCUGCAAAGAUUCAACAAGAGACAUGAUCCAGUAACUGACCAUGCCAGCUGUGACGGGUGGAAGAGUUGUGAGGAAUUUACAGCAGCCACGGAGUGACAACACACUAUGGGCUUCCCUGCUUAUGCAUACAAAGCAGGGAAGGAUAGCCGCUUUUCAGGACCGUUUUCUUCCUCUGAAUCAUCCAAGAUGGCACCAAUUGCAAAUGGGACAUUGAAUUGGCAAGCCCUGGUGCUCAAGCUCUAUGGAAACUUAUCCUGGCAAGGUCUAGCAUGCCUUCCUUGGACAUCUAGAAUCUCAUCAGUUGGCCUGUGGGACAAGAAAAAUCUUCACACUCUCCCAAACCCAACCCAGGUAAGUGGAUGUUUCUGCAGCUUAUACACCUCCCCUGCAAUAUGUGGUGCAGCCCACCGCUUAAGUCUUCUUGCACAGAUCUUGAAGAUGUAGCUCCACGGAGGGCAUCUUCAGCUCCCAUUCACUGCUUUCAGACACAGUCAGAAGCCACACAGCAGUCCAGAUCUGCUCCUUUGUCUGUAAUACUGGAAGUAUAAGACAUCAGCACGGAGAACCCCUUUUAUUUGGAGGGGAGGAGGAAGAGUUCCAAUUAGUCACUCAGCCAGUUUAAGGUAAUGAUGAUAAAAAACUCAAAACAUAUAUAGUAGGAAGGAACCUUACAUUCCCUUUAUAUUUGAUUAGCGAAGAAAGAGUUGACGACGUAGACACAUGACAGCCCCAAAUGACUGAAUUACACCUGCUACCUGAGCUGGGUCACUGCUCUCACACAAGAGAUUUUCUUCAGUGACUGUGAUGCACUGUGUUAGACUGUAUUGUUGGAGACAUGUCAUGGACCACUUGAAUGAAGCCUGCAGACCAGUUUGGGAACCUCUGCUCUAAAAUAACUCUAGAGUAACUUAUAGCUAUUAUGAAAGGAAACUAGUGCAGUUAUCUAAGAAGUUCCCUUUACUAACAUCUAAUUUAAGAGUGUGAUGAUGUUUUUAAGGUCAUUUUUCAGGAAAAUGAACACUCACGACCAGGCACUACAGUGCAGCGAGCAUCCAAUCAGCAUGGGGUCAUAAGUACUUUAGAUAUUUCUGAGGAGUGCAAAGACAUGCAAGAGUAGAUGGAGCAUAGUAGGGUGCCAUGUCUCUAAUGCUGUAGAGCUUAUUGCUGUCUACCAUAAUAGUGUGUUUUUCAGAGAUCAGAAAGGAAAUGAAUGAAGUUUCAUGUAAUGUAUGUGAGAUCCAGAUCUACUCCAUCAGGUGAUGAUCAAUAAGACUUCUGUACAUGCCCAACCCCACACAGUGCCAGGACUAAUCAGUCUACAGAUACAAAUCUUGUAUAACACUGCCUCCCAAGAAAGGGGGAGGAGUAACCACUCCUGGAUAACCUCCACCACUGAAGGAGAAAGGAGUCCUUUCAAUGAAUGAAUUUAUAUUUGGUAGUUUAGCAGUGAUACAAAUAACUUGAAGACAUUCAUAGAACUUACCUUGAAGUGGGAGCAGCUUCUAGAGAUGGUGAAAGCUCUUCACUAAAUGCAAACUAAAUGAAUAUGUCCAUUUUCAAGCAUAACAGCAAUGACAAAAAGGUAGUUCCAACUCUAAAUUUCCCCGCUAGUUAUGGGAUUUCACAAAAAUGCUCACCAUUUUGAUAAUGUACCAGUUAAUGUACAAUUGAUAUAGACAUUGCUGAGAUUAGGCUUCUCAAUAGCCACUUGCCUGGCAAAGUAGCCUUGAAGUGACUAGGUAAGGAAGCUUUAGUAAGCUGGAAGAUAACUGGCUCUUUCAGACUGUUGUGCCAGAAGUGACCCAUAGGGCUAUGUGCAGGCAGGUGGACUAGCAAGCUUUGUAGAUUUCGUUGAAAGGCUGGGCUGGGUUAAUGAAAGUGACAAGGAGAAACAAACCCACAGGAGGUUUUAAAUAAAGGUGUCUGAAUCCUACAUGCCUUAGAUACCAAGUCCUCCUGCUCUUGGCUGUCACUGACAAGCAAAAGGCAUUACUUUGUUGGUCAAACCCCCCAAAAUGAAAGCGGGCCGAAAUGAAAGGUGGCUUCUCCUCAAGCCCUGGAACUCCUUUCUUUCAGGGUUUCACCAAAGCCAUCUUCCAGUGGAAAUCAAGCAAACAUUUAGAGACUGUUAUUUUAGUAGCAGACCUAAGAGUUUUGUUCAUUUUCUACUGUUACUGAUGCAGAGCCUUAUAUCGGGGAUUACAAAUAUGUCUGACACAUUUGAGCAUUAAGUCCUUUACCUUUUGCCAUGCAAUAAAAAACCCUGCAACACUGUUUAAAUGAAGGAAGUAAAACAGGCCUAAGAGAACAAUCAUUUUUACAUUGCAAAGCGCUAACUUACUUACCUUUAUAAGCUAAACGUUGCCAAAAAUGUUCUUCAAAUACUUUAAAGUUGUGACAUUCAAGGUGAGAACUCUCUUCCUAUUGUUCUACCUUGACGAAUGCCUCUGACACAUACCUUUCAUAGAUAAAAAUCCCUAUGGUUUAAGAUGGGCCUUGACAUGAUUUCAUGUAAGUCACAUUCUUGGAAGGAGGAUCAGCCCCUCCCAAAACUCCCCAAAAUUAAUACCUAAAAGUUGUGUGGUUGUGUGUGCAUGUAAAUUAUCCAUUUGAAUCAUUCAGAAACCUUGUAGACCUGACAUUCCUAAGUCAUAAUGCAAAGGCAGAUAGGGACUUAAAUGAAAGUGAACAAAACAGUUACUCUGUACAUUAUAUAAACUUAGGAAACAAAUAAAUGUUUAUCAUUACCUACCUUCUAUUAGAACAUACCUAUCAUCUAUGAAAAAUAAUAGGUUUGU